Capsicum annuum is the source of this 1658-nucleotide long non-coding RNA. RefSeq lists it as uncharacterized. NCBI's taxonomy places the organism in Eukaryota, Viridiplantae, Streptophyta, Magnoliopsida, Solanales, Solanaceae. The transcript has 2 exons. The record is from RefSeq and is a predicted model, not a curated record.
GUAUAUUAGACAAAAGUUAUAGGUUGUAGCGCUAUACAUGUCAUUGUGAAUCUGAAGAUGUAAACCAUGAACUAGGGGUGACUUUUAGCCACCAGAUUCGUGGCGAGUCCCUUUUUAACCCCUAUAGGCUGAAAGCAUUUUUUCUUCUGAAAUUAUUGUGUCAAUUUAGCUGACCCUGUUAGAUCCUACUUAUGCCGUUGCAUGAUAUUUUAGAGUUGCAGUGUUUCUUUCCGACAUUCUAGAAGUUCGGUCAAUCGUGGACGAGAGUUAUUUGAAUCCUCAUUGGCCUUUAUGUUUAUUGCUUGUGUACAGUCACACGCUUAACUUAUGUGCGUCUGUGGAUGUAGAUAGUAGCAAAAAGGAAAACGAACGAAAAGGGAGGAAGGUUUUGGGGAAAAACUGCCAAUACUUGCAAAAUCUUCUCUCCAGAACCAUCUGUUAGUUUUUUUUUUGGUUUUUGAGUAUUAUAAUGGAUGGUAAAAACUAGCUACAACAUGUUAAUUACGCUGUUGGUGUAAAAAAAUUUCACACAAUAUAUACGCUGAGAUCCUUCUGAUGAUCGGAAAAAUGGGACUGUUGGGUACUAUUUUGGCAAAAGAUAAUGCUUGGUAUUUGGAAUUAUCACGGAGUUGAAAUUGGGGCUGCUGGAUAAUCAUUGAACUAGUGAAUGCAGCUAUUGUUCCUUGUUGCAGAAAUAAUUAAUUGAUUGUGGCUUACAUUAAUUAGCUCGUAUUAUACUAGUACACUAGGCAGAUGAAAAAAAAAAUACUGGUGCACUAUGGCUAAUAUAUUAAUUGGUGAGAGUUCGAUUCCCUCCUUGUAAUCUUCUCCCAAUUUCCCCUUCCCUACCCCCAUUUUGCCUUUUUUAAAAAAAAAAAAAAAAAAAACUUACCAACUUUAUGUAGAGAACCCUUGGUGUUUAGAGGAACAAAUUUUUAGGGGAAGAACAGAGUUAGUGGAAGCUGAAGUAUACUAAUAUUAGACACGUUAGUCAAUAGUGAAUGGUCCUAACAUAGUCUUCUUUUUUUGUGUCAAUUUUCCUUGCUGGUGGUCACAUGUUUUGGGUGCCAAUUAUUCUCCAUUAUUUGUUUCAACAUUUUGCGUCCCAUACUGGCCUGUCCAUUUUCUGCAAGAUCUUCAAAAUGCUGAAGUAUUGUCUUGUCUGCUUGUUUGAUGCUUAUAUGCAGUCUAAACAUUUGUAGGCCGAAUGUAGAGCUCAUAGACAAGGGCAAACAAAGGGAGUAAAUGUAUAUAUUUUCAUUGGAAAGGAUACUUCAGAUGAGAUUCGGUAGCAAAAACUUAAUACAAGUUUGCGUCAAGUUUCAUCUACAAUGAAUGGAAAGUAUGAUGCUUUGCAGUUACAACCUGGGAGGAAGAUUCCAAAAUCUCGGGUACAGUGAGUGGAAUUAUUCCUUAAGGACACUCCGUAAAGUCGGGGACUUGACUUUACAUUUUUGUUUCAUCUUAAUUUCUGUAAAAUAAAACACACUUCUUAAAAAAAUCACUUUGAUCUUGUGUUGAAGGUGGUUUUGGUACUUCAUAGUGUUCUUGUCUUGAACUUGAACUGGUGUUGAAGUUCGUGUUACUUGUAUACAAAUUCUUGUACCUGAAUACAAAGAAAAUAACAAGAAGUUGGUUACAUUAGACUUAGACAUAAA